Molecule: ribosomal RNA, 496 nt
Filed under: uncultured bacterium
Lineage: Bacteria
Description: partial 16S ribosomal RNA
Rfam family: Bacterial small subunit ribosomal RNA
Source: RNAcentral
GAUGAACGCUGGCGGCGUGCCUAAUACAUGCAAGUCGAGCGAACAGAUGAGGAGCUUGCUCCUCUGACGUUAGCGGCGGACGGGUGAGUAACACGUGGAUCACCUACCUAUAAGACUGGGAUAACUUCGGGAAACCGGAUCUAAUACCGGAUAAUAUCUUGAACCGCAUGGUUCAAUGGUGAAAGUCGGUUUUGCUGUCACUUAUCGCUGGAUCCGCGCCUCGUUAGCUAGUUGGUAAGGUACCGGCUUACCAAGGCAACGAUGCGUAGCCGACCUGGGGGGGGGAUGGGCCACACUGAAACUGAGACACGGUCCAGACUCCGACGGGAGGCAGCAGGAGGGAAUGGACCGAAAUGGGGGAAAGCCUGACGGAGCAACGGCAGGUGGGUGAAGAAGGGCUGCGGGUCGGAAAACGCUGUUAUUAGGGAAGAACAAAUGUGUAAGUAACGAUGCGCGUCUGAAGGGAACCUAAUCAGAAAGCCACGCCUAACUACGG